RNAcentral lists this ribosomal RNA (216 nucleotides) under Glomeromycotina sp. RNAcentral's name for it is "partial small subunit ribosomal RNA". The stretch from base 40 to 216 matches the Rfam family "Eukaryotic small subunit ribosomal RNA", at positions 686 to 864 of the family's 1831-position model. Lineage: Eukaryota; Fungi; Glomeromycota. The record is from RNAcentral.
GGGUCAGUAGGUUGGUCGUGCCACCGGUACGUACUGGUCUCACUGAUUCCUCCUUCCUGAAGAACCGUAAUGCCAUUAAUUUGGUGUUGCGGGGAAACAGGACUGUUACUUUGAAAAAAUUAGAGUGUUUAAAGCAAGCUAACGCUUGAAUACAUCAGCAUGGAAUAAUGGAAUAGGACGAUCGAUCCUAUUUUGUUGGUUUCUAGGAUUGACGUA